GUGUUCACUUUGGCAGCACAUAAACUAAAACUGGAACGAUACAGAGAAGAUUAGCAUGGCCCCUGCACAAGGAUGACAAGCAAAUUCUUGGAAGUGUUCCAUAUUUUU
This is a small nuclear RNA of Erinaceus europaeus (western European hedgehog), 108 nucleotides long. NCBI's taxonomy places the organism in Eukaryota, Metazoa, Chordata, Mammalia, Eulipotyphla, Erinaceidae. The record is from Ensembl.